CAGUAGCCGCGGGAAUACGUAGGUGGCAAGCGUUGUCCGGAAUUAUUGGGCGUAAAGGGCUCGCAGGCGGUUUCUUAAGUCUGAUGUGAAAGCCCCCGGCUAAACCGGGGAGGGUCAUUGGAAACUGGGAAACUUGAGUGCAGAAGAGGAGAGUGGAAUUCCACGUGUAGCGGUGAAAUGCGUAGAGAUGUGGAGGAACACCAGUGGCGAAGGCGACUCUCUGGUCUGUAACUGACGCUGAGGAGCGAAAGCGUGGGGAGCGAACAGGAUUAGAGACCCCCGUAGUCCCUGUCUCUUAUAC
Molecule: ribosomal RNA, 301 nt
Filed under: uncultured bacterium
Lineage: Bacteria
Description: partial 16S ribosomal RNA
Rfam family: Bacterial small subunit ribosomal RNA
Source: RNAcentral